Non-coding RNA from Triticum urartu, 93 nucleotides. The record is from Rfam. NCBI's taxonomy places the organism in Eukaryota, Viridiplantae, Streptophyta, Magnoliopsida, Poales, Poaceae.
GGGGUGUUGGCGCAGUUGGCUAGCGCAUAGGCCUCAUAGCUAAAAUAAAUGCGAGUGAUCCUGAGGUCGAGAGUUCGAGCCUCUCUCACCCCA